AUUGAACGCUGGCGGCAUGCCUUACACAUGCAAGUCGAACGGUAACAGGUCUUCGGAUGCUGACGAGUGGCGAACGGGUGAGUAAUACAUCGGAACGUGCCUAGUAGUGGGGGAUAACUACUCGAAAGAGUGGCUAAUACCGCAUGAGAUCUACGGAUGAAAGCAGGGGAUCGCAAGACCUUGUGCUACUAGAGCGGCCGGUGGCAGAUUAGGUAGUUGGUGGGAUAAAAGCUUACCAAGCCGACGAUCUGUAGCUGGUCUGAGAGGACGAACAGGCACACUGGGACUGAGACACGGCCCAGACUCCUACGGGAGGCAGCAGUGGGGAAUUUUGGACGAUGGGCGCAAGCCUGAUCCAGCAAUGCCGCGUGCAGGAUGAAGGCCUUCGGGUUGUAAACUGCUUUUGUACGGAACGAAAAGCCCUGGGUUAAUACCCUGGGGUCAUGACGGUACCGUAAGAAUAAGCACCGGCUAACUACGUGCCAGCCGCCGCCGUAA
This 498-nucleotide ribosomal RNA is filed under the name uncultured bacterium. Its description in RNAcentral is "partial 16S ribosomal RNA". It matches the Rfam family "Bacterial small subunit ribosomal RNA", at positions 30 to 523 of the family's 1533-position model. The record is from RNAcentral.